AGUUUGAUCCUGGCUCAGGACGAACGCUGGCGGCGUGCCUAAUACAUGCAAGUCGAACGCUUCUUUUUCCACCGGAGCUUGCUCCACCGGAAAAAGAAGAGUGGCGAACGGGUGAGUAACACGUGGGUAACCUGCCCAUCAGAAGGGGAUAACACUUGGAAACAGGUGCUAAUACCGUAUAACAAUCGAAACCGCAUGGUUUUGAUUUGAAAGGCGCUUUCGGGUGUCGCUGAUGGAUGGACCCGCGGUGCAUUAGCUAGUUGGUGAGGUAACGGCUCACCAAGGCGACGAUGCAUAGCCGACCUGAGAGGGUGAUCGGCCACAUUGGGACUGAGACACGGCCCAAACUCCUACGGGAGGCAGCAGUAGGGAAUCUUCGGCAAUGGACGAAAGUCUGACCGAGCAACGCCGCGUGAGUGAAGAAGGUUUUCGGAUCGUAAAACUCUGUUGUUAGAGAAGAACAAGGAUGAGAGUAACUGUUCAUCCCUUGACGGUAUCUAACCAGAAAGCCACGGCUAACUACGUGCCAGCAGCCGCGGUAAUACGUAGGUGGCAAGCGUUGUCCGGAUUUAUUGGGCGUAAAGCGAGCGCAGGCGGUUUCUUAAGUCUGAUGUGAAAGCCCCCGGCUCAACCGGGGAGGGUCAUUGGAAACUGGGAGACUUGAGUGCAGAAGAGGAGAGUGGAAUUCCAUGUGUAGCGGUGAAAUGCGUAGAUAUAUGGAGGAACACCAGUGGCGAAGGCGGCUCUCUGGUCUGUAACUGACGCUGAGGCUCGAAAGCGUGGGGAGCAAACAGGAUUAGAUACCCUGGUAGUCCACGCCGUAAACGAUGAGUGCUAAGUGUUGGAGGGUUUCCGCCCUUCAGUGCUGCAGCUAACGCAUUAAGCACUCCGCCUGGGGAGUACGACCGCAAGGUUGAAACUCAAAGGAAUUGACGGGGGCCCGCACAAGCGGUGGAGCAUGUGGUUUAAUUCGAAGCAACGCGAAGAACCUUACCAGGUCUUGACAUCCUUUGACCACUCUAGAGAUAGAGCUUCCCCUUCGGGGGCAAAGUGACAGGUGGUGCAUGGUUGUCGUCAGCUCGUGUCGUGAGAUGUUGGGUUAAGUCCCGCAACGAGCGCAACCCUUAUUGUUAGUUGCCAUCAUUUAGUUGGGCACUCUAGCAAGACUGCCGGUGACAAACCGGAGGAAGGUGGGGAUGACGUCAAAUCAUCAUGCCCCUUAUGACCUGGGCUACACACGUGCUACAAUGGGAAGUACAACGAGUCGCAAAGUCGCGAGGCUAAGCUAAUCUCUUAAAGCUUCUCUCAGUUCGGAUUGUAGGCUGCAACUCGCCUACAUGAAGCCGGAAUCGCUAGUAAUCGCGGAUCAGCACGCCGCGGUGAAUACGUUCCCGGGCCUUGUACACACCGCCCGUCACACCACGAGAGUUUGUAACACCCGAAGUCGGUGAGGUAACCUUUUGGAGCCAGCCGCCUAAGGUGGGAUAGAUGAUUGGGGUGAAGUCGUAACAAGGUAACC
Molecule: ribosomal RNA, 1519 nt
Filed under: Enterococcus sp. T5R2C10
Lineage: Bacteria; Bacillati; Bacillota; Bacilli; Lactobacillales; Enterococcaceae
Description: 16S ribosomal RNA
Rfam family: Bacterial small subunit ribosomal RNA
Source: RNAcentral